CACACAGAGACACAGACGGACACAAGUUCACGAUCUGCCGCAUGUCGACAAUGUACAGAAAAGAAGGGAAAGCUCUGCACGGCGAUGCAGACGUGGUUGAAAAUGUUUGUUUUCACAUAUUUUGCAUCAGCGAUGUUGACUCUUUGCAGCUACGUCACUCGAGGCGCCGCGAUGGACGUCAGAGUGGAACCAGGACCGAUUAGUCUGCACGCCUUCCUCUCUUUACCCAAAUCUGACAACAUCAGAAGAGUUCAGACUCACCUGCUGAUCCAAAACCGGUGGGCAUCUGUAUGCAGACGUCGUUUUGGCAUGACAGAUUUAUGAGAAGUCUGACUGCAUUAGUGGAAAACCAAGUGGGAAAUGGGAAGGUGUUGUAGCGUUCUGUUCAAGUGAGGCAGCUGCUUUUGAUUCUAACAACCUCAGUUUGUUUUCUAAAGUCAAAUAACUGCCUAAAAAAAUAAAAAAAAAUCGAUGUUGUUGACAAACUGUACUCCUCUGAGUCUGCAUCUACCCCCGGUUGUUAUUUACUUCGAGUCGUGAUGCAAGUUCACCAGAACACACACACACAUACACACAGCAGGACACUGUCAGAAAGCUGCUGCAUAACCUGUUCAGUGAACAACAUGACAAAAUCAGAAUAAACAGCCACCUGAAACAUCCAAAUUGUAACAAAAAAGAUCCACUUUCAGCUGGCUUUAAGCAUACGAUUUCUCCAAUAUUAGAUUUGGUCUCCUGUCUAUUAAUAGGCUGAAAUUAAUUACCCUCAGUCGGUUAGAGGUAAUGAAUUCCAGUGAAGUGAUUCCUUCGCAAUGAAGCCGAGCUGCAAGAUUAUCUCUCAUUAUUUGAUCUUUAAGCGUAGAGGAUCAAAAUAACAAGGCAGAUAAGAAAUUACACCCAACAGAUAACUCCGUGGCUAAAAGUGAGCUUCUUUUCACUAAAAUGAAAAUGUGAUUUAACUCUUAACGUACUGCUACCACGGGAAAAAAGAAAAAUCUCUCCAUCCAUUUUGAAUAACUGUGCAAAGCAGAGGCCCAACAUGGUGAGAUUUGCUUAAAAUGAGGUUUUCCAGCAGGAAAUGCAGUGAAUGGCUGCACACAUCCAGAAGGAAACAUGGUACCAUUUCAUUUCAUGGGGUCGUUCGUUUGUCUGCAAUCUUACUCUGUGAAACACAAAAUCCUCCACAGGCAGCUUUCUGUGAAGAACCCUGCUGCCAUGCUGUGGUCUCAGAUUUGACUAGACUAGAGCAGGUGCUGAUUCAGAGCUGGGAUGGUUGGGUCUGUUUACGGAAGGUUUCUCUGUAAGCGAUGACAGGAAAAGACCUCGAGGGGUUUUUAUUUUUUCUUUUGCACCUGCCUUUGCGGCUCAUUUUUAAACAGACACAUUUAACUCCUAGAAGUAUGUUUGCGAAAAGACAUUUGCGAGAACAGAAGGCGUUGGUUUGUAUGAUUUCUAUGUUUACAUCUCAGUGCUGGUCCUGCGUACGUGAACAACGAAGUCCAACGAAGAGCAUCGUGUGGCCAAACAGACUUGAGUUUUGCCGAUUGUUAAAAAUGAUAAUACUGUUGCGAUCGCUGGCUUUUACACAUCAUAUCUUGAUCAUUCAUACUGAACUCACACUGUCCAACUCAAACAUAGAUUUUGACUUCCUUCCUGUCAUAUUUUUGCACUCAACACAGGAUCUAAACACGACAUCCAGGUUAAACGGACAAAAAAAUACAGUCAUUAAUAUUCAAACCGCUACAAAGUUGCAAAACAGUUUUUACAAGUUGUUUAAAACUUUGAAGUUUUACUUCUAGUGGUUUGCAAGCUGGGAUUUAGGUUUUUUUUUUUUUAGUGUACAAAAUCAUUGAAUAAUUCAACAGAAAAUAAGGUUCUGCAUCCUGGUCCAUACUUUACAGCAAGAAAACCUCACGGCGAAAUGAAGCCAGGCAGCGUAUUAAAGAUUCAAGGUCGGCGUUCCUAUACGUGAUCUGGUCCGACUGUGUUAGUUUACCUAAGGGCUGUAAAGUGACGUGCAAACUGUUGCAGUGGAAAUGGGGCUAAUAAAGACAGCAAUUUGUUGCAUUUUUAAUAACAGAGAGCCUCUCUAAUCUGCCCAAGCAGCAUGUUAAAAAAGGCCUGAUGAUUCCUAAAGGAGUGAAAGCCUCCAAAAGCUCAGAAUAAACGGGUUCAUAUGCUCCUUAUUAGCCGCUGGGGCGUUUGUGUCGCAUCUGCCCCGUUCUCUGCGCAAAACUCCAGAUCUUCUUGUUAGCUGACACAACAGGAGGGAGGCGGUGAGAAACGGCAGAGCAAAAACGGCGAAAGGGAGAGGGAACGGCAGAAGGGAAAACGGAUAAAAGAGGGCAUAAUACGAUGGAGAAGGAAGUAUCGGGAUAAUGUGACGAGACGGAGAGAGAGAGAGAGAGAGACCAAAGAGGGGGUAAAUAGAGAGAGGGGAAAAUGAGAAAUUGCGGAUGAUAAUUGGAGACGGAACGAGCGAGGAAAAAGAGAGAGCAGGUGGCCUGCGAUAGACCAAACCCGCCAUGAAAUAUUCAAUCUUUAAUCAGACUCCCAGCAUUCCCUAACGAGGCGUGAGAAGGAUGAAUUAGGCCUUCGAGUUUGGGGAGCUGAGCGGCUCAAAGUUAUCUCGCACCGACACGCUCGCCAACAGACUCAGUAUCACACACGCACCACUGUACCAGAUGUGUCCUUUUUUUUAUCCCCACAAGUGUACAGUGACGAGAUUAAUGAGCCGCACGUGGUUGGACGGAGAGACAAACAGAAAACACACACACACACACACACAGUCAGUCAGUCAGUGUCCUGCUGAGUGUGUUUGUCUGUGGAGAAUGAGACGGAGUCGUGCUCAAGACACUAUUUUCACCCAAAUUCUGCCCAGUUUUUAUCCUGAAAUAUGCAGAAAGACUCUCCUUCAGGGAUCCUGCACAUUUUUUUUUUCAUAUUUUUCAGACUAAACGUGAAAAAAAUUAUUUUCAACAGGAAGUAAUGGGGCAUAUCUUUUUUUUCUUUUCUUUUUUUUUUUUACAAGUCAGGCUUUAAAUAUGAAACCUGCACAAAACCACAGACAGGAAUGAAGGAUAAAGAAAAA
This is a long non-coding RNA of Poecilia latipinna (sailfin molly), 3088 nucleotides long. RefSeq lists it as uncharacterized. The transcript has 2 exons. NCBI's taxonomy places the organism in Eukaryota, Metazoa, Chordata, Actinopteri, Cyprinodontiformes, Poeciliidae. The record is from RefSeq and is a predicted model, not a curated record.